This 253-nucleotide ribosomal RNA is filed under the name uncultured bacterium. RNAcentral's name for it is "partial 16S ribosomal RNA". It matches the Rfam family "Bacterial small subunit ribosomal RNA", at positions 524 to 776 of the family's 1533-position model. The record is from RNAcentral.
UACGUAGGGUGCGAGCGUUGUCCGGAAUUACUGGGCGUAAAGAGCUCGUAGGUGGUUUGUCGCGUUGUUCGUGAAAACCUGAGGCUUAACCUUGGGCGUGCGGGCGAUACGGGCAGACUGGAGUACUGCAGGGGAGACUGGAAUUCCUGGUGUAGCGGUGGAAUGCGCAGAUAUCAGGAGGAACACCGGUGGCGAAGGCGGCAUCCUGGACCGACACUGACGCUGAGGAGCGAAAGCCAGGGGAGCAAACGGG